GUGCUCACUUUGGCAGCAUAUAUGCUAAAAUUGGAACGAUACAGAGAAGAUUACCAUGGCCCCUGUGCAAGGAUGACACACAAAUUCAUGAAGCAUUCCAUAUUUUU
This 107-nucleotide small nuclear RNA is filed under the name Prolemur simus (greater bamboo lemur). The record is from RNAcentral. Lineage: Eukaryota; Metazoa; Chordata; Mammalia; Primates; Lemuridae.